CAAAUUGAAGAAGAUAAGUGGUUUUGGAAAACAAAACAAACAGAAAGAGGCAGAAAUCAAGAAAUUUAGAAUGCAGACUAUGUCGUCUGAAAAAGUGAAGAUAGUUUACCACAAAAUAACGUUUCAAACGUCCUUAUUUUCAUUGACUUUUCGACAGCUAGCAUAAUCACAACUCACACAGAAACGCUCAAGCAUAUUUACGAAAAAGCACUAGAUGAAAGCACUAGAUGGAUACGCACUAGAUUGGAUACGCAAUAACUCAAGUUUUAACAUCUAUCACUCCUAAUGAAGACUAAUAAUGGCUUGUCAGCCAAAUGUUUAAACUGAGAAGCUUGUUCUUAAAAACUAUAAUAAAUUUCAGAGAUGGUCGUCGACGAAACUUUUGAAAGCCUAUGAGAAAAUCAACCUUCUCAAAAGGGUACCAAUAGGAAUUAACUGCGGUGACGGUUGCGACGGUGCGAACUUUCCUGUACGUUUGAAGGCAGUGUCGGGAUGCUGUCCGGGACAGUAUUGUCUUCGUGGCGAAUGCUUCUGGAACUGAGAAAGUAAAAGUUUCCUGAACUCGGCUUCAAUAUGUUUUCGAGCUCCUAUUCUAUUUUACGUUCUUUUUUAGAUAUUUUUAUUUCGUAGAACAUUGUAACAAUGUAACCAUCGUUUUGUUUUAAGAAAAUGUACAUUUUAUUCUUACAAGUUUGUCAGACAAUUCUAAAUAAGAAGACUUUGAACUGGAA
Molecule: long non-coding RNA, 731 nt
Organism: Xenia sp. Carnegie-2017
Lineage: Eukaryota; Metazoa; Cnidaria; Anthozoa; Malacalcyonacea; Xeniidae
Exons: 2
Source: RefSeq, a predicted model, not a curated record